CCUACGGGUGGCAGCAGUGAGGAAUAUUGGUCAAUGGACGAGAGUCUGAACCAGCCAAGUAGCGUGAAGGAUGACUGCCCUAUGGGUUGUAAACUUCUUUUAUAAAGGAAUAAAACGAGGCACGUGUGCCUUUUUGCAUGUACUUUAUGAAUAAGGAUCGGCUAACUCCGUGCCAGCAGCCGCGGUAAUACGGAGGAUGCGAGCGUUAUCCGGAUUCAUUGGGUUUAGGGGGUGCGCAGUCGGGCCUUUAAGCCGGCGGUGAAAUCUCGGGGCCCAACCCCGCCGAGCCGUCGGAACGGGGGGACUUGAGUGCGGCGGAGGCAUGCGGAAUGCGCGGUGUAGCGGUGAAAUGCAUAGAUAUCGCGAAGAACCCCGAUUGCGAAGGCAGCGUGCCGUGCCGCCACUGACGCUGAGGCACGAAAGCGCGGGGAGCGAACAGGAUUAGAUACCCGAGUAGUC
RNAcentral lists this ribosomal RNA (459 nucleotides) under uncultured bacterium. RNAcentral's name for it is "partial 16S ribosomal RNA". It matches the Rfam family "Bacterial small subunit ribosomal RNA", at positions 338 to 795 of the family's 1533-position model. The record is from RNAcentral.